GGUACCCUUGGAAGAAGCCCCGGCUAACUACGUGCCAGCAGCCGCGGUAAAACUUAGGGGGCGAGCGUUAUUCGGAAUUAUUGGGCGUAAAGCGCUCGUAAGCGGGACUGAAAGUCCGUGAGGAAAGACCUGGGCUCAACUCAGGGAACUGCAUCGAUACUUCAGUUCUUGAGUGAAUCAGAGGGUGAUGGAAUUCCCGGUGUAGCAGUGAAAUGCGUAUAUAUCGGGAGGAACACCAGUGGCGAAGGCGAUCACCUGGGGUUAUUCUGACGCUGAGGAGCGAAAGCUAGGGGAGCAAACGGGAUUAGAUACCCCGGUAGUCCUAGCCGUAAACGAUGGAUACUAGGUGUAUGUGGUAUCAACUCCAUAUGUGCCGUAGUUAACACAUUAAGUAUCCCGCCUGGGGAGUACGGCCGCAAGGUUAAAACUCAUAGGAAUUGACGG
Molecule: ribosomal RNA, 444 nt
Filed under: uncultured bacterium
Lineage: Bacteria
Description: bacterial SSU rRNA
Rfam family: Bacterial small subunit ribosomal RNA
Source: RNAcentral